RNAcentral lists this transfer RNA (73 nucleotides) under Streptomyces globisporus. RNAcentral describes it as "tRNA-Lys". It matches the Rfam family "tRNA". From Rfam's summary of the family: Transfer RNA (tRNA) molecules are approximately 80 nucleotides in length. The record is from RNAcentral. Lineage: Bacteria; Bacillati; Actinomycetota; Actinomycetes; Kitasatosporales; Streptomycetaceae.
GCGCCGUUAGCUCAGUUGGUUAGAGCAGCUGACUCUUAAUCAGCGGGUCCGGGGUUCGAGUCCUGACGGCGCA